Molecule: ribosomal RNA, 253 nt
Filed under: uncultured bacterium
Lineage: Bacteria
Description: partial 16S ribosomal RNA
Rfam family: Bacterial small subunit ribosomal RNA
Source: RNAcentral
UACGGGGGGGGUAAGCGUUGUUCGGAAUUACUGGGCGUAAAGGGCUCGUAGGCGGCCAACUAAGUCAUACGUGAAAUCCCUCAGCUUAACUGGGGAACUGCGUGUGAUACUGGAUGGCUUGGAUUUGGGAGAGGGAUGCGGAAUUCCAGGUGUAGCGGUGAAAUGCGUAGAUAUCAAGAGGAACACCUGAGGUGAAGACGGGUUGCUGGGCUGACACUGACGCUGAGGCGCGAAAGCUAGGGUAGCAAACGGG